CCCCGGUAAACGGCGGCCGUAACUAUAACGGUCCUAAGGUAGCGAAAUUCCUUGUCGGGUAAGUUCCGACCUGCACGAAUGGCGUAAUGAUGGCCAGGCUGUCUCCACCCGAGACUCAGUGAAAUUGAACUCGCUGUGAAGAUGCAGUGUACCCGCGGCAAGACGGAAAGACCCCGUGAACCUUUACUAUAGCUUGACACUGAACAUUGAGCCUUGAUGUGUAGGAUAGGUGGGAGGCUUUGAAGUGUGGACGCCAGUCUGCAUGGAGCCGACCUUGAAAUACCACCCUUUAAUGUUUGAUGUUCUAACGUGGACCCGUAAUCCGGGUUGCGGACAGUGUCUGGUGGGUAGUUUGACUGGGGCGGUCUCCUCCUAAAGAGUAACGGAGGAGCACGAAGGUUGGCUAAUCCUGGUCGGACAUCAGGAGGUUAGUGCAAUGGCAUAAGCCAGCUUGACUGCGAGCGUGACGGCGCGAGCAGGUGCGAAAGCAGGUCAUAGUGAUCCGGUGGUUCUGAAUGGAAGGGCCAUCGCUCAACGGAUAAAAGGUACUCCGGGGAUAACAGGCUGAUACCGCCCAAGAGUUCAUAUCGACGGCGGUGUUUGGCACCUCGAUGUCGGCUCAUCACAUCCUGGGGCUGAAGUAGGUCCCAAGGGUAUGGCUGUUCGCCAUUUAAAGUGGUACGCGAGCUGGGUUUAGAACGUCGUGAGACAGUUCGGUCCCUAUCUGCCGUGGGCGCUGGAGAACUGAGGGGGGCUGCUCCUAGUACGAGAGGACCGGAGUGGACGCAUCACUGGUGUUCGGGUUGUCAUGCCAAUGGCACUGCCCGGUAGCUAAAUGCGGAAGAGAUAAGUGCUGAAAGCAUCUAAGCACGAAACUUGCCCCGAGAUGAGUUCUCCCUGAGACUUA
RNAcentral lists this ribosomal RNA (907 nucleotides) under Salmonella enterica. RNAcentral's name for it is "partial 23S ribosomal RNA". It matches the Rfam family "Bacterial large subunit ribosomal RNA", at positions 1918 to 2824 of the family's 2925-position model. The record is from RNAcentral. Lineage: Bacteria; Pseudomonadati; Pseudomonadota; Gammaproteobacteria; Enterobacterales; Enterobacteriaceae. RNAcentral also lists the same sequence under 4 other names.